GUUCCUUGAGCGGUACUUCACAAGCUUCCAGAAUUGGCGUCAUAACGCCACCCACGCAUAGUGCUCCUCUCACCUUCUUCUUCCCGUUCGUCAACGCCCACUUCCUGUAUCCACACAGAUGGAUCAACAGAGGCAUUACUGGUGGUGCGUUGUUGAGAUCGCCUCUCAAGACAUUCUUCCCCUUCGUCCGGCGGAGAAUCCCUGUAAGCGCAUAAUCUAUCAUCUCCAUGUCCGUGUUAGACACGGUGUCUGUAGACUCCCUGGAGUAAAAGACGUUGGCGACCGAUCGCUGAAAGUAGCAGAUCACAGGACUUCGGAUUUGGUUGCCCUUAAACCGCGCCGAGUUUAGCGGUAGAUUGUUCCCUAUAGUGGUCCACAAAUCCUUAAGCUCUUCUCUGUCAAAUCUGGGUUUGGUUCCCUUUCCACAAGGGAAACCAAACAGUUCUUCCAACUUCUUGAUCGAAAGCUGAUACCGCUGUUCAUUCACUGAGAACGUCAAGAAGCCUAACCCCAUGGUAUCCAGCCCAAAGUCCGUGAGUGCCUCAUACAUCUCCACUUGCAGCGUGGAAAGAAACUCGAUUGUCUCCUCCUUAUAGGCAGGGUAAGGGUAAGACAUGAGUGUCUCCAGAUGACACUUCUCGAACAGAUGCUGCACGUCCUCCAGUAACCCCAGCUAGGCUAAAGUCUCAUAGCACGGAUACCGCGUUCCCCAGAAAUCAUUCAUCUCAAAGAACCUGAUAUACUCCUCCACUGUAACCUCGUCGGGUUUGUUCAGCAGCUUCGUCUCCCUGCACCAUGACUCUGGCUCAUACUCAGUCUCGAUAUCCUCAUCAAUCAGCUCAUAUCUACUUGACAUCGCCCUCUUUCCUCUGGUGAUUUCAGCUCUUCUCUGAUUACGUCAGGCUGCAGAGCGUUCGAAUUCAUCCCUGAAGCUCUGGUAAACAUGUUGCUCUCUCGGUCUAGCGGAUCAGGACUCAGCUUCAUCUACAUUGUAAUCAGGGUCCAUAGAGGAUUCUCCGCUGUAGUUACUCAUGAUGAAACCUGAAAACGGACAAAACUCAAAAAUAAACGUUAAUACGUUAGUAAUAGCAAACCAAAAACACAAACCAAUCAAGUGAACCGGUCGAGUGAUUUAAUAGAGUAAACCGUCUGUUUUGAAAUAGAUUUUUUUUCGGUUGAUCGAGUGAUUUUGCUUGGUCGAGUGGUGAGCUUGAAGAGGAGGAGUCGAGUGAACUGUGAAACGAAAACGGGCUUGUGGUCGAGUGGUUAUUGACAGCCGAGUGAAGCCGUGAAGCUUGAGUGGUGAAAACAACGAGCAUUGGAGUUGAAUCGAGUGAACUUGGGGAAGUCGAGUGGCCAAUGAACUUGAGGGAUGGGAGAACGACGGCACCUUGGUCUUGUGGUGAUGUAGAAGUGGUGAAGGCGGCUUGGUGAAGGGAUGAUGUGAGAAGAAGUCGAGUGAUUAAGCGAUGAAGAAGAUGGUGAUUGGGGAUCGAGUAAAGUGGAGCUCACGGAAGAAGAGAAGACGGCGGUGUGAAGCGGUCGAGUGGUUGUGGUAGUGGAGAGGUCGAGUGAAGGUUGUGAGGAUGACAAUGGUGAUGAGCGACGGUCGAGUAGCAAGUGGAUUGGAGAUGAGCUGCGGUGGUGAUUCCUUCAGGGCGAAUGAUGAGGCUUGGACGGAGGAGAAGGUGAUGUGAAAUCGAGUGUCGCAGCAAUUGGUGAGGUCGAGUUGUUUGGAGUUGGUCGAGUGUGGGAGGAAGAGAGAUGGGGAGGUCGCGUUUUUGAAGAGAGAAGGCGAUGAGAUCGAGUGAAGGGAUAAGGGGAGGUCGAGUGGAGUGGAGAAGAAGAGAUAGAUUUCGUUAUCACUUUGUGGGAGCGU
Molecule: small RNA, 1879 nt
Filed under: Arabidopsis thaliana (thale cress)
Lineage: Eukaryota; Viridiplantae; Streptophyta; Magnoliopsida; Brassicales; Brassicaceae
Description: ATSL200310
Source: RNAcentral